AAAGUGGAGCUGAGACUAACUAGCCAAAACUUUACCGAAGCUCUUAAAGAUAACACAAGUGAAGAAUACAAGACAUUUGAGAAAGACUUCAAAAGCCAGAUGUAUGAAGUUUAUAAAGACCUCCCUGGUUAUAAGGAUUUAGUUAUUACUGAACUGAGAAAUGGCAGUGUCAUUGUGGAUCACAAAGUAAUUGUGGAGGUAGAAUAUCAGCUAAAUCGG
Long non-coding RNA from Pelobates fuscus (common spadefoot toad), 219 nucleotides. RefSeq lists it as uncharacterized. NCBI's taxonomy places the organism in Eukaryota, Metazoa, Chordata, Amphibia, Anura, Pelobatidae. The record is from RefSeq and is a predicted model, not a curated record. The transcript is spliced from 3 exons.